AUGUGAGGGUUUGUUGGGUGCUCCUAAACCCUCAUCAUGGUCAUUCUUCUUGGCUGGGCUGUUGAUUUAAUUAGGUUUGCCUUCUCUUGCUAACGUGCUCUUAUUUAUGCCAGUGUUUGUGGUUCUGGGUGUAGACUUUCAGGAAGCACAGCCAUGAAGCUGCAUGCGUCUGUGUGUGGAUGCCUCAUGCCUUUUCCUGGUGGUUUGCAGGCAUGGAAGAUUCUUCUGUUCAUCUAAGCUCCUGACUUUAGGCCCUUCUAGAACAUUAGAGAGGAGAAGAAAUCACGUGCAAGGAUUUAGGGACAAGAGGAUGAGGUUUUGGUGUUUCCUUUCUGGUAUUAGGUUUUCCAGAGAGAGGCUGUUAGCCUGUCUCUCGCCCACUCCACCACUGUGAAUCCUGGCUACUGGGGCUAGUUCCUUGCUAGGAAAAAAAAACUCUAGAGAAAUGUGUUUGUGUGUGGUGGGUGGGCGGGGGCCCUGAGGAUGCAGGGACUGUGUCUGCUGUGUUGUCUGUUAUAAGAUGUUUCAGACCUAUUUUGCAUACUGGCAGCGACAAGUUGAGACUUGUUCAACUUGACACAGUCCUGUGGUCAUAGCGAAUCUUUCUAAAGCUCUGAUCAGUCAAGAAGGGGGUUGUAUCAAUCCUCAGAACCCUGAGUGGAACUUUCUACAGGAUUUAUUAGGAGAAAAACCUUCCCGGAAGCUGCAGAAGGACAAAUACAGAAUCCGUGUCUGGGAGAAACCUCGUGGCCUGGUCUCCAUUAUUUGAGAUGAGUUACAUCUUGGAGGACCAUAGCUGUCUGCAGUGCAGGAAGCCAACUAUUAAGGGGAAACAAAAGUGUUCUUAGGAGUCCUGCUGUCACUGUGGAUUGAGCCGGUGAAGCCCUGAGGGAUUUCAUCGCUGAGGUGGAUGGAGAAGCAGCUGGGGGCCUUGGCUGUAAGGACCCCUAAGGGCCUGAUCUUUUGGCCAGAAGGAGAUUAAAAAGAUGCCCCUCAAGAUGGCUGUGCCUGUCAGCUGCAUGGAGCUUCGUUCAAGUAUUUUCUGAGCCUGAUGGAUUUACAGUGAUCUUCAGUGGUCUGGGGAAUAACGCUGGUGGAACCAUGCACUGGAAUGACACACGCCCGGCACAUUUCAGGAUACUAAAAGUGGUUUUAAGGGAGGCUGUGGCUGAAUGCCUCAUGGAUUCUUACAGCUUGGAUGUCCAUGGGGGACGAAGGACUGCAGCUGGCUGAGAGGGUUGAGAUCUCUGUUUACUUAGAUCUCUGCCAACUUCCUUUGGGUCUCCCUAUGGAAUGUAAGACCCCGACUCUUCCUGGUGAAGCAUCUGAUGCACGUUCCAUCCGGCGCUCAGCUGGGCUUGAGGACUUCGCAGGUGAGCAGUAACGGAAAUCAGCCCCGUUUAUUCCUCCCAGCACCUGCCUUAUCCAACUCCCCACGCUGUGGCUGAGUCCCAGCCUGCUAUGGAAGCAUCACUGGACUCCCAUUGAACUCUGUGCAGAUUCGCUGUUCGUAGACAUGGUACCUGAUGGACACCAAGCUACGUACAGCUUCAAGGCCCCUUCUUUCUUUGCUAAUAAAAAAUAAAAAAUAAAAACAUAAUACACGUUAUAUUUCUAUC
Molecule: long non-coding RNA, 1619 nt
Organism: Homo sapiens (human)
Lineage: Eukaryota; Metazoa; Chordata; Mammalia; Primates; Hominidae
Gene: PVT1
Product: Pvt1 oncogene
Source: Ensembl